CCUACGGGAGGCAGCAGUGGGGGAUAUUGCACAAUGGGGGAAACCCUGAUGCAGCGACGCCGCGUGAGGGAAGACGGUCCUCUGGAUUGUAAACCUCUGUCUUCGGGGACGAAACGAGACGGUACCCGAGGAGGAAGCCACGGCUAACUACGUGCCAGCAGCCGCGGUAAUACGUAGGUGGCAAGCGUUGUCCGGAAUUACUGGGUGUAAAGGGAGCGUAGGCGGGCAGGCAAGUCAGGCGUGAAAUAUAUCGGCUCAACCGGUAACGGCGCUUGAAACUGCAGGUCUUGAGUGAAGUAGAGGUUGGCGGAAUUCCUAGUGUAGCGGUGAAAUGCGUAGAUAUUAGGAGGAACACCAGUGGCGAAGGCGGCCAACUGGGCUUUUACUGACGCUGAGGCUCGAAAGUGUGGGGAGCAAACAGGAUUAGAUACCCCAGUAG
RNAcentral lists this ribosomal RNA (439 nucleotides) under uncultured Acetanaerobacterium sp. Its description in RNAcentral is "bacterial SSU rRNA". It matches the Rfam family "Bacterial small subunit ribosomal RNA", at positions 338 to 793 of the family's 1533-position model. The record is from RNAcentral. Lineage: Bacteria; Bacillati; Bacillota; Clostridia; Eubacteriales; Oscillospiraceae.